RNAcentral lists this ribosomal RNA (444 nucleotides) under uncultured bacterium. Its description in RNAcentral is "bacterial SSU rRNA". It matches the Rfam family "Bacterial small subunit ribosomal RNA", at positions 354 to 796 of the family's 1533-position model. The record is from RNAcentral.
GUAGGGAAUAUUGGUCAAUGGAUGCAAGUCUGAACCAGCCAUGCCGCGUGCAGGAAGAAGGCCUUCUGGGUUGUAAACUGCUUUUGUCAGGGGAUAAAAAGCUCGUGCGCGAGCAAUUGCAGGUACCUGAUGAAUAAGCCACGGCUAACUACGUGCCAGCAGCCGCGGUAAUACGUAGGUGGCAAGCGUUGUCCGGAUUUAUUGGGUUUAAAGGGUGCGUAGGCGGCCCUGUAAGUCAGUGCUGAAAUACCCCGGCUUAACCGGGGGGGUGGCAUUGAUACUGCAGGGCUUGAGUACAGAUGAAGUAGGCGGAAUUGACGGUGUAGCGGUGAAAUGCAUAGAUAUCGUCAAGAACUCCGAUAGCGAAGGCAGCUUACUAAGCUGUAACUGACGCUGAGGCACGAAAGUGUGGGGAUCAAACAGGAUUAGAAACCCUAGUAGUCC